RNAcentral lists this ribosomal RNA (377 nucleotides) under uncultured bacterium. RNAcentral's name for it is "bacterial SSU rRNA". It matches the Rfam family "Bacterial small subunit ribosomal RNA", at positions 523 to 898 of the family's 1533-position model. The record is from RNAcentral.
AGACGUGGGGGGCAAGCGUUGUCCGGAAUUACUGGGCGUAAAGGGCGUGUAGGCGGCCUGCCAAGUCAGCUGUGAAAUUCCCCGGCUCAACCGGGGGACUGCAGUUGAAACUGGCGGGCUUGAGUGCAGGAGAGGAGGGUGGAAUUCCUGGUGUAGCGGUGAAAUGCGUAGAUAUCAGGAGGAACACCGGUGGCGAAGGCGACCUUCUGGCCUGUUACUGACGCUGAGGCGCGAAAGCUAGGGGAGCAAACAGGAUUAGAUACCCUGGUAGUCCUAGCCGUAAACGCUGGGUACUAGGUGUAGGAGGUUUCAAUACCUUCUGUGCCGCAGUUAACGCAUUAAGUACCCCGCCUGGGGAGUACGGUCGCAAGGUUGAA